CCAGAUGUCAUGUGUGGCGAGGCAGCCUAGAGAGAGGUCCCUAUGGUGAGAAACUGGGGCCCCGCUAACAGCCACCUAAGUGAGCUUGGAAGUGGAUCCUCUAGCACCUUAGGACUGCAGCCCUGGCCAGUAGUUUGACUGUCUCCUCAUGAGAGAACCUAUGCCAGAAUCACCAACUAAGCCUUUCCCAAAUUCCUGACCCACAGAAACUGUGAACUGGCCAUCUUGCCUGUUUUCAUAAAAGUCUGAAAUACGGAGGAGACCCUGAUUUAUAUUUUCCAUAGAAGAGAAGAGAGAUUGAGAUGACUCUCUUGCAGUGAGGUAUGGCGUGUCCUCUCCAUGACAAUGUGAGGGAAAGUGAUGUAUGCCACUUCCAGGUUCUAUGGAACCCUGGAAUGAAGAGGAUGCCAACCUUGAAAAGCUAUUCUAGUUCUUUCAAUGUGCCAUAAUGGUAUAGGAGCAAAUGUUUCUGCUGAGGACACAGCAACGAAGCACCAAUUUUCACUGAGGUUCCUCACCAAACACUGAAUCCGCAAGUGCCUUGAUAUUGAACUUUCCAGCCUCCAGAACUAUAAGAAAUAAAUUUCUGUUA
RNAcentral lists this long non-coding RNA (592 nucleotides) under Homo sapiens (human). RNAcentral's name for it is "HSALNT0309110". The record is from RNAcentral. Lineage: Eukaryota; Metazoa; Chordata; Mammalia; Primates; Hominidae.